ACGCAACCCUUCGGGGUUGAGUGGCGGACGGGUGAGUAACGCGUGAGAAUCUGCCUUCAGGUCGGGGACAACCACUGGAAACGGUGGCUAAUACCCGAUGUGCGCAACGUGAAAGAUUUAUCGCCUGAAGAGGAGCUCGCGUCUGAUUAGCUAGUUGGUGGGGUAAAAGCUCACCAAGGCGAUGAUCAGUAGCUGGUCUGAGAGGAUGAUCAGCCACACUGGGACUGAGACACGGCCCAGACUCCUACGGGAGGCAGCAGUGGGGAAUUUUCCGCAAUGGGCGAAAGCCUGACGGAGCAAGACCGCGUGAGGGAGGAAGGCUCUUGGGUUGUAAACCUCUUUUCUCAGGGAAGAACACAAUGACGGUACCUGAGGAAUCAGCCUCGGCUAACUCCGUGCCAGCAGCCGCGGUAAUACGGAGGAGGCAAGCGUCAUCCGGAAUUAUUGGGCGUAAAGCGUCCGCAGGUGGCACUUCAAGUCUGUCGUCAAAGACUGGGGCUUAACCCUGGAAAGGCGGUGGAAACUGAAGCGCUAGAGUGUGGUAGGGGUAGAGGGAAUUCCCGGUGUAGCGGUGAAAUGCGUAGAGAUCGGGAAGAACAUCGGUGGCGAAGGCGCUCUACUGGACCACAACUGACACUCAGGGACGAAAGCUAGGGGAGCGAAUGGGAUUAGAUACCCCAGUAGUCCUAGCCGUAAACGAUGGAUACUAG
This 710-nucleotide ribosomal RNA is filed under the name uncultured cyanobacterium. RNAcentral describes it as "bacterial SSU rRNA". It matches the Rfam family "Bacterial small subunit ribosomal RNA", at positions 66 to 819 of the family's 1533-position model. Lineage: Bacteria; Bacillati; Cyanobacteriota. The record is from RNAcentral.